UGAUAACUGUUAUUCAUUUUGUUUCCUGAGACAGGGUUUUGCUGUGUUUUUCUGGCUGGCCUGAUUUUAUGUAGACCCCAGGUUCUUUUCUUAGCCUACUACAUAGUGGAAUUAUAGGCUGAUUCUACCACAACAUUAGCAUUUCUUUCUUUUUUCCUAAUAAAUAUAUUUUUAAAAUUUCUUUAAUUAUUAUAUAUGUGGUUGUAUAAGUGCCACAGAACACGUGGGGGUCAAAGGGCACCUUUGGUGUGUCAGUUCUCUGGUGGGAUCUAGAGAUUAGACUCAGGUCAUCAGGUUUGUGUGAUAAGCACUUUUAUCUGUUGAGCCAUCUUGUCAGCCCACUGUGUGUGUUAAUGGUGGUGGCGUGAGGAUGAAGGCUAGAGGAUGAUGUUGUUGUUCUUCCAUCAUUUUCCACCCUUUAUCUUGAGGUAGAGUCUCUCAAUUAAAUCCAGAACUUAGCAAUUUGGUUAGUCUAGCUAAGUGGCUUCUCCUGUCUCUCUUCCAUGUGCUGACCACACCAUGCAAAACUGGCAUAUAUGUUGGUGCUAUGGAUCUGAACUCUGGCCCUUAUUGCACAGCAGAUUCUUUCCCUGUUAAGGCCUCUAUCAACCCUAGAACCCAUUCUUACUAAGCAGGUUUUGCCGUAUCAGUUAACAUUUCUGCAAGAUAAUUGAUAUGUAUGACAAUAGAUCUCAGUAUGCUGCCUGUUUAUUUUUCUCCUGUAUUUAUUUUUGUAUGGUGUGUGUCCGUGCACACUGUAUGUAACACACCUCUGCACAGAGGCCUGAGGAGAAGUCAGUUAUUCACUCUAUCUAAUUUCUUGAUUGAGUCUUCCACUAAAUCUGGAGCUAAACUGGCAGCUAGCAAGCACCAGCAAUCUCCUGUCUGUUCCCAUAGCACUGGGACCACACCCAGCUUUUACAAAGGGGAGUGUGUGUGUGUGUAUGUUGUGUGUGUGUGUAAUUAAUUCUUUCUGGAGAAAGGUGUAUUGUGUAGCAUAUCAAUGGGAGUCAGAGAACACUUGGCAGGAGUCAUUCUCGUGUUCCAUCCUGUUGGUUCUAGGAAACAACCUUGAAUAGUAAGCCUUGGUGGCAAACAAGCCCAGGCAUCUCACACUCAUUAAUCCAUUUUCUAUGCAGGAAGAUUUUUAAAAAUAUAUUCCAAAUGCUGUGGUGUCACAUUAUUCCAGGCUGUUUCCUCAAAUACUGUAGAAAACUUCACAGCAGAAAACUGAAUUUUAAUAUAUUAUACAUUCUCAGUUCUCUUAUACUACACCAAUAUUAAGGAUUAAUUUGCAUGCUAAAAAUGAUACCACUAAACUAUAUUCCCAGCCUUACUCUUUUAAUUGAGAUAGGGUCUCAUUAAGUGGUCAUGUCAACUUUGAAUUUAUUCUAUAACCCAUAUAGGCCUCAAACUUGAGAUUCUUCUGCCUCAGUCUCCCAAAUAGCUAGAAUUACAGAUCUAUGUCACCAGGCACAGUUACUCCUUUCUUUGUUUUUUCUUUGUAGCAUACUUUGCCAAAGCAUAUAUGACUUGGCAUCUUUUAUCAUGGUCUUCUAGUCCUAUCCACUAUUAGUUUCAAGUUAAAGGCAGAGAACUUGCAAAGCAAAGUUUGUUUUGUUUUUGUUUUUAAUUAUUUAAUGUAUAUGAGUACACUGUAGCUGUCUUCAGACACACCAAAAGAGGGCAUCUGAUCCCAUUACAGAUGCUUGUGAGCCACCGUGUGGUUGCUGGGAACUGAACUCUGGAAGAGCAGUCAGUGAGUGCUCUUAACCACUUAGCCAUCUCUCCAGCCCCCAAGUUGUUUGCUGUUGUUUUUUUGUUUUGUUUUGUUUUUGUUUUUUUUUGUUUAUUUUUUUUAAUAGUAUGGUUUGAGUUUUAAAGUACUAAGUUGCCUUUCUCCUUUAGGUUUGCUCUAUCCAGGUGUUCUUUUCCCUCUUUUCUUCAGUUUUGAUAUAUACUAUGAUGUCAGUAUUUUCCAGGCUUCCAUUGUCCAACCAUUUUAUACUUCAGACAUGAUUUUUACUAAUAGGUGAUUGUUUUAAGUCAUAAUUUUCAAAGAUCUUAAGAGAUAGUCACUUCAAUUUAGCUGGCAAUGUGUCAGCUAACAUACUUAAGAGAUGUUUUGAUUUGGAGAGUGUCAUAUUUUCAAACUAUUUGUGGAGAUAAUUCUCUUUGUCUUCAUUGUAGCAUGUUGAUUUCAACACUAAAACAGUACUUGUUAAGAUAAAGGAACUGUAGAAUUUCUUUCACAUGAAUUUUCCAACAGAACAAUUCAUAAAUUUGAUAAAUAUUAUAUUCUUGUUCCUUGGCCUGUCAUUCAUUUUAAGAUCUAUACUGUACUGUACUAUACUAUACUACUGGUAGGGAGUUUCUGUACUUAAGGAUUUUUAUCUCAUAGAGAACAACUUAUGUAGAUAUUAGAAAUAAAUACAUUGAUUUUCUAUUCAUUUAAUGAGAUUUUGUGAUUCAGUGUUUUAUUUCAUUUCAUUUGCCUCCAUUGUCUUUCUUUUUUUUUUUUAAAGAUUUAUUUAUUUAUUAUAUGUAAGUACAUUGUAGCUGUCUUCAGACACUCCAGAAGAGGGAGUCAGAUCUUGUUAAGGAUGGUUGUGAGCCACCAUGUGGUUGCUGGGAUUUGAACUCUGGACCUUCGGAAGAGCAGUUGGGUGCUCUUACCCACUGAGCCAUCUCACCAACCCCUGCAUUGUCAUUCUAAAUUAGUCCACUAAAAGGAAGAAAUAUCUGUGGAAUGCAUCUUAUAAGUCUAUACACUAAGUAUUGGGAAAGUAACUUAAAUCAUUUCAUUUAGUCUCUAAUUUGAUAUGCAUAGUUAGAGAGGUUCAUGCAUGUAACCCUAGUGCUCUGGAGACUGAGACAGAAAGAUUGUUGAAGAGUUCCAAACUAUCCAAGGUGCACACUGCAUUACAUCUUACCUGGGCUAUUAUGUGAGCCUGUCUCAUAAGACAGAAUCAAAGCAAAACAAAAAGCCACAUCUGCCUCAUUAUUCUUAUUUGUAAAAUAAAAUGUAAUACUAUCUUCUAGAUUUUUAUUAUGAUCAUGUAAAUUUUACUAUGGUCAUUACGAGUUCCAAAGGUAGACAAUACAGUGUAAUAAAUGUGCCUUUUCUUAUGCUGACAGAUAGUUAACUUGAGUCAUAUUUUUGUUUUGUCUGUUUUGUGAUAUGAUCUCAUGUAACCCAGGCUUUCCCUGAACUUGCUAUGUAGUAGAUAAGGAUUACCUUUGAAGCUCUGAUGCUCCUGCCUUCACUGUGUGAGUGAUCUAGUCCAGUUGGUAGAACUAGUAUACUCGAGGCACCUGAGGCUUCAAGUUUGCUUGAGCAGAGCAUCAUGGCAGAAGCAUGAGGUGGAGGGUACUCUUUGAUUCUUGGCAGAUAUUAAAUGAAUAGAAGCUUUAUUUUCAUAUUCAUAUUAUUAUAUAUCUAUACCUAAUAUACUGUUUUAUUUGUGUUAAGAAAGGCAGGAGAGAUGGCUCAGUAGUUAAGAGGAUGGCUGUUUUUCCAAAGGACCAGGGUUCAAUUCCCAGCAUCCAUAUGACAGUUCACAACUGCCUGUAACUCCAGUUCCAAGGGAUCUGACACCCUCUCACAGACACAUAUAUAGGCAAAACACCAAUGCACAUAAAAUAAAAAAAAUAAAUUAUUUUUAAAAAUACCGUACAUAGAAAAUAAACUCAGAACAGUAUUUAGUGUGUGGCUUUCUAAAACUUUUAUCUGAUAUUUUUAUUUUAUUAGCAUACAUUGUACACAACAGUGAAUUUAAUGAUAACAUUUUCACACUCAAAUAUAAUGUAUUUUGAUCAUGUUUACUCUCCCUUUCUCUCUCCCACUUUUCACUGUUUUCCUUCUUCCCAAGUAAUCCCCCUUUGCUUCCAUGAGAUUUGUUUUUUAUGACCCAGUGAAUUUAGUUAAGUUUGCUUACAGGAGCUUACGUGAGAUUAUUUAUGGGAGUAUGGGAACUUACCAGUAACUACAUC
RNAcentral lists this long non-coding RNA (3993 nucleotides) under Mus musculus (house mouse). RNAcentral describes it as "long non-coding RNA chr18:36602060-36606053". The record is from RNAcentral. Lineage: Eukaryota; Metazoa; Chordata; Mammalia; Rodentia; Muridae.